This 894-nucleotide ribosomal RNA is filed under the name Neobacillus niacini. Its description in RNAcentral is "bacterial SSU rRNA". It matches the Rfam family "Bacterial small subunit ribosomal RNA", at positions 102 to 981 of the family's 1533-position model. The record is from RNAcentral. Lineage: Bacteria; Bacillati; Bacillota; Bacilli; Caryophanales; Bacillaceae.
ACGGGUAACUAACANGGUGGGCAACCUGCCUGUAAGACUGGGAUAACUUCGGGAAACCGGAGCUAAUACCGGAUAAUCCUUUUCCUCUCAUGAGGAAAAGCUGAAAGUCGGUUUCGGCUGACACUUACAGAUGGGCCCGCGGCGCAUUAGCUAGUUGGUGAGGUAACGGCUCACCAAGGCGACGAUGCGUAGCCGACCUGAGAGGGUGAUCGGCCACACUGGGACUGAGACACGGCCCAGACUCCUACGGGAGGCAGCAGUAGGGAAUCUUCCGCAAUGGACGAAAGUCUGACGGAGCAACGCCGCGUGAGCGAUGAAGGCCUUCGGGUCGUAAAGCUCUGUUGUUAGGGAAGAACAAGUAUCGGAGUAACUGCCGGUACCUUGACGGUACCUAACCAGAAAGCCACGGCUAACUACGUGCCAGCAGCCGCGGUAAUACGUAGGUGGCAAGCGUUGUCCGGAAUUAUUGGGCGUAAAGCGCGCGCAGGCGGUCCUUUAAGUCUGAUGUGAAAGCCCACGGCUCAACCGUGGAGGGUCAUUGGAAACUGGGGGACUUGAGUGCAGAAGAGGAAAGCGGAAUUCCACGUGUAGCGGUGAAAUGCGUAAAGAUGUGGAGGAACACCAGUGGCGAAGGCGGCUUUCUGGUCUGUAACUGACGCUGAGGCGCGAAAGCGUGGGGAGCAAACAGGAUUAUAUACCCUGGUAGUCCACGCCGUAAACGAUGAGUGCUAAGUGUUAGAGGGUUUCCGCCCUUUAGUGCUGCAGCUAACGCAUUAAGCACUCCGCCUGGGGAGUACGGCCGCAAGGCUGAAACUCAAAGGAAUUGACGGGGGCCCGCACAAGCGGUGGAGCAUGGGUUUAAUUCGAAGCAACGCGAAGAACCUUACCAGGUCU